AAUAAGAUGCCUGAAUUAAAGGAUUACCUUGAUAGGGUAAAUUAUACAUGUGGUAAUUAAUCAUGUUCUUAUUA
This 74-nucleotide transfer RNA is filed under the name Neoasterolepisma foreli. RNAcentral's name for it is "tRNA-Ile". Lineage: Eukaryota; Metazoa; Arthropoda; Insecta; Zygentoma; Lepismatidae. The record is from RNAcentral.